RNAcentral lists this unclassified non-coding RNA (240 nucleotides) under soil metagenome. RNAcentral describes it as "partial contains 5.8S ribosomal RNA, internal transcribed spacer 2, and large subunit ribosomal RNA". The record is from RNAcentral.
AACAUCGCGCACCUGCGGGAACCUGCGGAGGGAUCAUUACAGAGUUGCAAAACUCCCUAAACCAUUGUGAACGUUACCUAAACCGUUGCUUCGGCGGGCGGCCCGGGUCCUUCCCGGCGCCCAUCGGCCCUCGCGGGCGCCCGCCGGAGGUAAACCAAACUAUUGCAUUGUAUGGCCUCUCUGAGUCUUCUGUACUGAAUAAGUCAGAACUUUCAACAAUGGAUCUCAGAUCGGAAGAGC